RNAcentral lists this transfer RNA (75 nucleotides) under Dictyoglomus sp. NZ13-RE01. RNAcentral's name for it is "tRNA-Val". It matches the Rfam family "tRNA". Rfam says of the family: Transfer RNA (tRNA) molecules are approximately 80 nucleotides in length. Their secondary structure includes four short double-helical elements and three loops (D, anti-codon, and T loops). Further hydrogen bonds mediate the characteristic L-shaped molecular structure. tRNAs have two regions of fundamental functional importance: the anti-codon, which is responsible for specific mRNA codon recognition, and the 3' end, to which the tRNAs corresponding amino acid is attached (by aminoacyl-tRNA synthetases). tRNAs cope with the degeneracy of the genetic code in two manners: having more than one tRNA (with a specific anti-codon) for a particular amino acid; and 'wobble' base-pairing, i.e. permitting non-standard base-pairing at the 3rd anti-codon position. The record is from RNAcentral. Lineage: Bacteria; Pseudomonadati; Dictyoglomota; Dictyoglomia; Dictyoglomales; Dictyoglomaceae. RNAcentral also lists the same sequence under 1 other name.
GGGCGGAUGGCUCAGUGGUAGAGCACCUGUUUCACAUACAGGGGGUCGUAGGUUCGAAUCCUGCUCCGCCCACCA